GCGGGUGUAGCUCAGUGAUUAGAGCACCACCUUGCCAAGGUGGGGGUCGAGGGUUUGAAUCCCUUCACCCGCU
Molecule: transfer RNA, 73 nt
Filed under: Bacteroidota bacterium
Lineage: Bacteria; Pseudomonadati; Bacteroidota
Also listed under: 1 other name
Description: Bacteroidetes bacterium (marine metagenome) tRNA-Gly
Rfam family: tRNA
About the family: Transfer RNA (tRNA) molecules are approximately 80 nucleotides in length. Their secondary structure includes four short double-helical elements and three loops (D, anti-codon, and T loops).
Source: RNAcentral